RNAcentral lists this ribosomal RNA (352 nucleotides) under uncultured bacterium. RNAcentral describes it as "bacterial SSU rRNA". It matches the Rfam family "Bacterial small subunit ribosomal RNA", at positions 29 to 407 of the family's 1533-position model. The record is from RNAcentral.
AACGAACGCUGGCGGCAUGCCUAACACAUGCAAGUCGAACGAGACCUUCGGGUCUAGUGGCGCACGGGUGCGUAACGCGUGGGAAUCUGCCCUUGGGUUCGGGAAUAACAGUUAGAAAUGACUGCUAAUACCGGAUGAUGACUUCGGUCCAAAGAUUUAUCGCCCAAGGAUGAGCCCGCGUAGGAUUAGCUAGUUGGUGAGGUAAAAGCUCACCAAGGCGACGAUCCUUAGCUGGUCUGAGAGGAUGAUCAGCCACACUGGGACUGAGACACGGCCCAGACUCCUACGGGAGGCAGCAGUGGGGAAUAUUGGACAAUGGGCGAAAGCCUGAUCCAGCAAUGCCGCGUGAGUG